CACAAUAAAAUAUGAAGGCUGUACGCGGCUGUGCUCUCGGGCCAGUUUUGCGGAGGCUGAAUUAUUUAUUACCCUUGUCCUUUGCGCACUUGUUGUUUCCUGGGCGGGUUCGCCCGCCACCAGGACCACAUCAUAAACCUUUUUUAUGCAGUUGCAAUCAGCGUCAGUAUAACAAAUGUAAAUCAUUUA
This 189-nucleotide unclassified non-coding RNA is filed under the name soil metagenome. Its description in RNAcentral is "partial internal transcribed spacer 1". The record is from RNAcentral.